RNAcentral lists this long non-coding RNA (2922 nucleotides) under Cairina moschata (Muscovy duck). RNAcentral describes it as "domestica (muscovy Duck (domestic type)) lncRNA (ENSCMMG00000010222.1)". The record is from RNAcentral. Lineage: Eukaryota; Metazoa; Chordata; Aves; Anseriformes; Anatidae.
AUGAAACAACUAUAUUUACAUUUCCUCCGGGAGAGCCAACGCAGCACUGCACGGAGUUCUCCUAAAGCAACAGCAUGUACCAACCAGGAGCUCAGUUUCAAAGCAGCACCACUGGAGAGGAGGAAAAACACACGAUCGCCUAGGCAGGGUACUGGAAGCGCUGCCAUCAGCGCAAAGCCAACCUCGGGGUGGACUACAUUCAGCAGCAACACUGGUUAUAUAUGGAGAACAGAAAACAAGAAGACCCAAGCCCAAGAAAAAAAGCAGACAGAAGUCCUAACUCCUCUUCAUGCAAGAAGACAUCUUAAUGUAGGAGGGACUUUCUUCCUUCUUACUGCUUGGAGCUGAACCAAAGAGGUACCUGAAUGUUUUUCUCCAUCCGUGUGUGUACUCAGUAAAACUGUUAUAUUAUGUACGAAAACCAUCAGUAAAUGACAAGUUAUGAAUUGCAAUGACCAUGUUCUCCUCACACUGCCAGGGUGGUGGCUAAGUGCCCUGGGGUCUGAGUGUAGAAUUCUGCACAGGUAUACAAAAAUAAGCCUUGUUACGGGUUGCCACCAGCUGUGGUAGUAGAGAGCUCCUUAUGAUCCAGUGGUCUGCAGUUCUAAUUUCAGCAUAUUGCCCUGCACCAAGUUCUGUGCUUACAGUAUAUGCAACAUUAUGCUGCUUACCUUAUGUAAGCUAGCUAGGUAGCUGCAGAAAAUCUGCAACCAUACCUGGUAGCUCAGAACAUUUUUCUUAAUCAUACAAUCACAUUUGGAUGGUAUUGAUGGUGAUAUUUUUGUAGAGGACUUAUGGCUUUGAAAUAUUAAAGCAUGUCACAGUUUAUUUAUUUCUUUUGCAAAAUACCUGAGAUAAGAGAAAUACCAUUAUUUUGUUUUGUAAACAGAUGACUGAAGAUGUGUAUUGACAACACACUAAAGUCACUUUUAAGAUUCAUAGUUCUAGAUCAAAAGUAUUGUGCAGAGUGAUGGUCUAGCAUAAACUCACACAGAUGGCUCAGACUGCUUCAGACAAGCACCAUGCACAGAUAUAGUUUUAGGCCCAUGUUAGUAACUUCAUUUAUAAGUUCCUUUUGGCAUUCCAUACCCAGUAACCAUAGACUAAUUCUUGAAGAAAAGUCACAGAGAGAAAGAUUUUCCUCUCAACAUUCAGAAAAAAGAGGCUAAGAAAGGAUGCCUAGAAAUCUGAGAAUGUAGUAAUGGGCAGCUUGGGCCCUUCCGAGAAGCAAUGGGUAACAAAUUGUUUUGCAUCAAAAGCUUUCAUCCAGAUUGUGAUCUAUAUGGGGGUUAAAACUCAAAGUGCUUCAAGACUGACAAUUCCAUGAUAUGUUAAUUUGGAAAAGGUUUGUUUGUUUGUUUGUUUGUCUGUUUUCCUUCUCCUAUAAAUGUAUAGAACUACACAGACAUCUAUUUCUUCUUUUUAUUAAAAUAAACAAUUUUCUUCCCUCUACCAUGUUUCUCUCCUGAUAUAUCUUUGAAGAUUCUGCAAAGGUUAUAUUUAAAGAAAACAACACUAUUUUCCUAUUAUAGUUUUCAGUUUAUGAAAAUAAUUGCAAGGACUAUAUAUUAAAAUAACACUAAGCAUGUUCAUUAAGGACACACUUUUCAGGAAAUUAAAAUUUAUCAGUCUUUUUUAUUUGUCUAAGGUGUUUGUCAAGGGUGUUUCCUCCAUUCUGUCUGGUAACUGCAGAUAUCAAUAACUUCUUACAUACUUAUACACUGCCAAGGAGAUGUGAGCUCUGGCAUACCAGCUUGUCAGCUUUAAGCCUGAAUUUUUGUACACUGGAGACAGCUGGAGAGAAGGCCUUAUCAGAGGCCCAUUAAUACUUUUACAAAAGCAGACCUUGUGCAGUAAGAAUUACCUAGUUUGCUCAUGAAUUGCCUUCAGAAGAGCAGAAGUCUUUGGUAGCUAAGAACUAAUUGCUUGUUUUCCUAAUUGUUUUGAUGCUACAGGAACAACUGAGGUAACUGAGCAGAACUGAGCAGUCAACUGUGCUCUAGAAAUGAGAGUUCCUCAUACAGGUAUUUACAUGAGCCACUGCAACUCAGACAGCAUCUGUCUACAGGUUGACAAAUCAGUCAUCUUUAUGCCUUCCUUAGAAGAAACCAUUGAUAUUUGUAACAUUGAAUCUAUUAUUCUGAAUAGAACAAGCACACUUUUAUGGACCUAAUGCUAUAGGAAACUAACUACUGCUUGAAUUACUUUCUGUAAUCCAGACAAGCUUUCAAAUAAAUUCAUUUUUGGGGGGAUUUUUCAUCUAAGUCUCUCUUCAUAUCCUUACCUUUGUCCUUGUUAGUGAGCCAUUCUGCUACAAGCUGGGUUUCUUUGGUCUUUCUAUGAGGCUGCAGACCAUGUGUAUGAGGUGUUGACAACACGUAGACAGGACUUCCAGUCUGAGUGUUGGCCAUUGUUUUACUACUUUUUGAAGACAACCAUAUACUCUAGGCCAAGUGCAUAGGGGAAAAUGCGUAUAAGAGAAAAAAGUUGUAAGAACUUUUUAAAAAGUGAAAGAGGGAGAAGCAUCUGUGUGAUUUAAAAUGCAAGCACUGCCAAACAGAAAACAUUCAAAGUCCUGGCAUUCAUUGAUUAAAUGUCAUUUUGCCACAUGUGCACUUGAAAACAGCUCUCCUAGCUGUCAAAAACCAGGUGACAUUGAUUCUGUUUCCCAAGUUCAGAAAAUGUGUCUCAAGUGAUUGAAUCCCUAGGAAGAAGAGUCAUGGAGAAAAUCCAAAACAGUAUUUUCUUUUCAUGUGGAUUUUACUGUUCAGGGAAUAUAGAUGCAAACUGAAUAUAAUCUUCAGUGAAGGGGAAUAAAUUAAUAAAAUACUAGAGUAAAUGUCUAAGCUUUUUUAUUCACUAGUGUUCUAGUUUCAUGCUUUUUAAAAUAACACUGAAAUUAAUGAAUAUAUGUGAUUUUAG